GUGGCUCUUUGGCUGUUUAACUGACAGGGUUGCAGCUGGAGGUAGAACAGGUCCGGGACCUUGUUAAUGUAAUCACUGUCAGCUUUCCUGUAAGGAUCCCCACCCAGGCACCAGCAGAGAACCUGUCUGUGUCCUCCAUGGCUUUUGCAGGGAACUCAGAGGUGGUGGGAGGCCCAGGCCAGGGAGGAAGAGUGAGCUACAUCAACACAGGAAAUGGAAUGGAGCAGUGUGCAGCUGCUGCCAGCCAGGCUGAGGCUUGAGGACUCACAUCUGGACAGAGAAGACAUUUUCCUCUCAGUGCCUCGGUAGCCUUCAGCCACUGUAGGAGCGGGCAUGCUGUUGUCACAAGCAGUCAGAUCCUGGACAUGGCAGCUGACCUGCCUUACUUGGAUGUUAGCAGAAGCUUCUUCAAGGAUGACCAAAUGUUGGCCUUGCCUUGUGCCAAGCUCAGUGCAGACAGAAGCCAGUACGCUGAAAGCUGAAAGAGAAACAAUCGAGAAGCAGUCCCCGUUCCGGGAAGAAGCAGCCAUCAUCACACAGAGGGUGUUCUCGCACAAGAAGAAAAGCUCUUCCUUUAUGAGGAUGAAUUUUUACUGAAAAUCCUUCCUCUGCCUACAUGCAUGAGAGACAUUGGGCUGAUUGGACAUGCCACCUUAUUGAAUGACUGCCUGAUGGACAUGGUAAAGGUAGCCCAGAAUCUGUCCCCUGUGGGAAGAGUGUCCUGGGGACAUAGACUCUCUGGGCAGCAAAGUCUGAGUGCUGUCCUUCUCUGUGCCCCACCCACCUGUUCUUCAUUGGCUGAGCAUGGCUCCUGGGGCUGAUGUGCGGGCCACAGCGCACAUCGCACACCACUCUGCUUUCUUCUAGGUCAUAGUGACCCCUGCUGGUGUUGGGAGUAACUGCUCCCAGAGGGCUAGGGGUUCCUUGUCUUGGCAUCCUCAAUAUGCUGAGCCGGUGUGUCAGAGCCCAUCUUUUCUAUCGGGCUAUCUUUAAUGAUUUCAUGAGCAUCCUACUGUUCCAUGUAAUUAGGAAGAGAUUCCUCUGGACUUAGGCCUAGCUAUGGACAAUAGAUACAGGAACUUCAUGUUGCUCAGAGAGCAUUCCUUUCCCUAGACUAUGUUGUUUGCAUACUGCAGAACAUUCCUGAUCCUUCUCUUGAAAUGCUGUUCUGGGGGAGACUGUCACUUCUCUGACAGGCAUAGAGAGGACUUGCUCCCAACAGUACCUGCCUAUUUUCCCUACCUGAGCAAGGGCUCAGCUCACGGGCUUGGCAGGCUCUCACCCCUGCAAGCCUUUUUCUUGCCGCCCUGCUCUGGGCUUCCCAUGUCCACUUCUCUCCAUGUUGCUUCUAGCCGCACUCUGGAAGAUGCUCAAAGAGUGGGUUGGCUAAGGUCAGAAGCAUGGCACAGCGGGAGGAGACCAGGGGACUGUACUUGAGACUAUUGCGUUGUGUAUCUUUGUCCCUAUUGUGCGUUCAGGCCCAGACACCCACAUUCUAGAGGGGAGGAAGGGCUUUUACUGGUCUCUAUGGAACCUGACCUCCUCAGAUUCAUUGAUAAUUCAGGCAGUGACUCUAUGCUGUCGUGCAAGGUUAAUUUUCACUCAGCAGUGAUAUCUGCUGCAUCUCCAGUGACUCCAUGGUCAUGGUUUGGUCACUGAUGAUUGGAACCUUAUUUCGGUCUCCAUGGUGAUCACACUACUUCAGCAUCUUCUGAGGCCACAUACCCUCUCACCUGCUGUGUGUUACCCACCAUCUUUGCAAGGCAUGGAUUUGACUGCAGGCUGCCUCUCUGGGUUCCCAGGUCAGCCCUGCUCUGCCAGGUUCCUGUCCAGGAGAAAGCAAGUGUGGUCCUGACAAGGCAGGCAGUCUCUCCAUGCAGUGGUGUGGCCCGUGGCAGCCAGCAGAUAGAGUCCUCUGAGCCCCCUGGAUCCCUGCAGGAGACCAGGAAAAGAGGAUUCUACAACAUGACAGCUGGCGUUGAUCUUACCACCUCUUGGACCUUUUGAUGAAGUUUUUCCAGGAACGUGGCAACCUUAGCAAGAAACUCAGACAACAGAGGGUGGGAAAGGCAGGCCAGGGAAGGGAUGAAGCUGGAGUGUCCCUCAGCACGGGGGGCCACUGGCUCCAGGGCCUGCAGGUGUGGCCUCCAUGUAAGCCUCACAAGACAUUAGUGUCUGUUCCCUGACUUCGGUGAGGCCUCAGAUCAAGGAAGAACACUCCUGGGAGAUGUUCUCAUGGGACAUCCAAUCCUUCCAAGAAUGCUGGGUUUAUGGGUUCUUUGAGGAUGCUGGACAUGGGGUAGGCAUGGACAAGAGCAGGACAUGACCAGCACACACACAAGGGGAUCACCCUGAGUGUCCCGCCUCAACUUCUUGCCAUGCUUGACUUGCAAGUUGUUCUGUAGAUGUUUCUUGCUUGAGUCACUAGAUAAGGGAGUUCUGGAGUGACACUUGCCAGGCCUCACCAGGCACUCCGUGAACCUUUCUUAUCAUCUCCAGGCCCUUUGCCAGGUGAUGCUCCAAUCCCAGGCAGACCUUCUGUUCCACGCCAUCUCCCUCCAGUUUCUUUGUUACAUCUUUUGGUUUUAGCUGUUGAGCCCUCCUUAGAGGGUUCUCCAGAGCUCAUGGACCCCAUCCUCUGCAUUCUUCUUGUUGUUUUCUCAAGCAUCCGUGGACUUGUCUCUCCCUGGUAUUCACACUUCCUUGUGAAUCUACCCUUCCCGCAUCAGGCCUGCCCUGUCUGAAACAGGGGCCUUGCUGCUGUUCAUGUCUGGUGCCGCUCCUGACUACCUUGCUCCUUCUUUGGUGCUCAUGGAAUCUGCAAGAGUGACAGAGACUGAUGUGGAGGUCUGGGUGGCCUGGUUGCCCAGGAGAAGGUUGAGAGUGGGGUCACUAGUUGUAUCUUGAUAAUUCUGGAGGGAAAAAUCCUACCUUUGUCCACUUCAGUCACUCCAGGAAGAACAGUUCAUUUAUUUGGCACCUUGUGCUGGGAUAGAAGGCAGUUGUUACACAGUUUAAGCCUAAUCUAAGAUGUAGAAGGUCCUGGUUUCUAGCCAGAAUAUAGGCGUUUUGACCAGGAUCUGAACCUUGGCCACGGGUUUUAAGUUGGGGCUGGGCCUCAUUGUGCAGUAGCGUAGGGGCUGGGAGAGCGACAGAGGUCGUGGAGCCUGACUUUGAGGCUGGAAAGAAUGAGAGACUGGAAUGAAGCAGCUUUAGGGCGUGCAGAGGAAGAGUGCCUGGAGACUAGGUGGUAGCCAGCAGCGACUUGCUGCUCAGAGAGCAUUAUGCCACGGCAGCACGGGCCGCAUCUCUGCCGCACGUGACCCUCUGAGCUCUUGAGGGGCCACGGCUGCUAAGAACUGGGGGGCUGCUCUUCUAUUUUAUGCUGCAGAAGGAGGCAGAGUAGACUCACCUGUGGCCCGGUGAUAAGCUCUUGUGGUGGCUAGAGGAGACGCGGAGGUGCAGUCUGCAGCCAGGGGGCAGGUGGGAUCAAGAGGCCUGGUGGGCAGAGUAGGUUAGCACCCAUUGCCCUUGGGCCCAUGACUGCCCUGACCUCAGACCACCCUUCCUGUCUCAUGCACCAUAGUCCUUGACUUUCCCUUCAAGGUAGGGCCCAGGUCUUGGGAAUCCCAUCACAGAUCCUGGUAAGGAUUAUGCAGAUGCAUGGUGAGUUCCUUGUAUUUUGCACAGUUAAUGCAGGCUCUGAGUCUCUUCUCCUGCUGGCCAUCUCUGCAGGCUGGAAUCAGGGACUGGACAGAGUCCUGUAGAGGAGCCCAAGCAAGCAUUGGCUGUGGAUUCCCAGCACCAGUGUCCCGGGAUAUGGACCAGUGACAGUGAUUGCAAGGGUUCAGAGGGCCCAUCAUUUAUAGGGUGCUUCCUCCACCCAACUCCAUGGCUUCCAAAGCCACUGUAUGGGUGGUGGGGGGGGAACCAUUUGAAAGAGGAAUAGGUGUAAGGGAACUGAAACAGUUCGUCCCCCUCCAAAGCCAGACAGCAUGGCUCUAUUCCCCGCUUCAUCCCUCUCUCUGAGCAUCAUCCAUGGACACAGCUUUAUUCCAGGUGUAGAACCUGGUAGGUGUCCCAGUUGUGAUUGCCUCCCUGUCAGGGUUCUGCAACUUGCAUCCUCAAACACAUAUCUCUCUUCACUCAGGAACUAACUAGUGUGUCUGUUCGCGAGUCCCUCCCUGCUUGAAAGUUGGAGGUGGUUUUACUCAGACUCAGGCCCUGACCCAGGCAGGAGACAUAGUGCUGUAGAUAUGUAGAAAGAUGUUUCAAAAGUGCUAAAAUGGAGUAAAGCACAGGCAGGAUUAUCCCUAAAAUAUGGUGACUCUGUGGUGGUCACAGCCCAGUGACAAGUAUGUUCCUGUCUCUUGCCCUGUUAUGUGACCUACAUGAGCAGCAAAUAUACUAAAUUCUCCAGUAAGUGUGGCACUGUCAGUCUGAUUACACCCUCCUUCACGAAGCAGGAAAGAACAUAAAAUGUGACCCGAGUAGACACAGUCGCUGGCUGCAGCAAGCUUUCCUUAGCAAGGUAGCUACUCAGCUGCCCCCUCCUCCGGCCAAGCUGUGAGCAAUUCGUGUGAUGCACGGCUACCCAACCAAGUUAUCAGUGGCCCGGGUCCUCAUUUUGCAGACCAUGAUGUUAGUCCUGAAAACACUAUGUGGUAUGGCACUAAUCUGCCACAUAACCCUCAGGUACCUUUUUGGCCAGUUGUACCAAAGUUUUGGAGAAGCAUAAACUAAACACUAUGACGCCCCACAUGACUGUCCCUUAUGCAAACCUGGGGUCUCUGGCAGCUGCCCCAAAGACGUGUGCAAGAUGCAGCCAGACGACGCACUGCCAGAGCUGAUAGGUGAUAACACUGCUGUAGUGAACAGAACGCCUCAAGUCCCCGGUAGUGGGCAACCCAGUGAGGCCUCAAGUGGCUUGUUCACCAGGAGAGGGGUCAGCCAGCUCAUGUCACACUGUGGGGAGUCUCUGGCCUUCCUAACUCAGCACUCUUGAUCUUGUGGGUCUCUUCUCUCGCUGGUUAUGCCCUGAGUGGGCUAAAGAAAAUCCCCCAGUGUCACAGUGGUCUCCUAAUCCUGCAUACCACUUUGCCAUCAGCUCCAGGAAUGACGUAUGGGCUCGACCUGUUGGCCAGUGCGUGGUGUGCUCCAUGACACCCCCAGCUGCUUUCACUAAGAUGUCUAAGGGAAAGUGCCCGCGGUGCUGUUUGCUGUUUUGUGAAUAGUCCAGACUGACUGUGACAAUUCCCUAAUAAUCACUUAUUUUCAAGUCCAUUUCUGGAGGCUUCUACUUUUAUAUUGUCCAUAGAAAGUACUGUUACAGGGGGUGGGGGGGAAAGCGUGCUCAUCUCUGAUGUCAUAAAUCUCAUCUCACACUGUAAGCCCCAAUCAAUAUCUUGACCGAUUGUAUCUCUGUUUGGAUGAUGCUAAGUCAUUGGUUUGGUUCCUGGGUCUCCAAGUGAAAAGCAGUUGGUUGCUGCUCUUGUUGCAUGAUUACUUUAUGCCUUAGCAACACUGGCCCCACUGCCGCUGUAGAUUCUGUUCACAAUCUACACACAAAUCACCUCCUGGCUGCUGUCUACCUGAUACUACAACCCCUCACAAGCUCAGGGAACACUGCAGAAGAGGGGGGUGUGAGAUUGUAAGAGCCUAUAAUGAAGGGUUAGAAAAAGUAGAUUCAGGUUAACAUGACUGCAGCCAUCUUGAAUCUAAAUUGUCAUUGUGUAUUGCACAAUAAUCUUAGCCAGAGAUUUCUGUAUAUUCUCCUAGAAACUACAAAGAGACCCAUUAGAGAGAUCUGUGGAGCUCUACAAUGGGACCCUUGCUCCAGGAGUGAUCAGUACUUUGGUGUUAAGAUAAACUAAAUCCCGGUGAUGGAGACCCUUUUGUGCUAACUCAUGUAUGCUUCUACCGACCCAAACUGUGGGCAACCAGCUGCCUCUUAGGCCCACACUUCUGUAAAUCUCUCAGUAAAUUAUAUCUUGUACAACCCUA
Molecule: long non-coding RNA, 6003 nt
Organism: Peromyscus leucopus (white-footed mouse)
Lineage: Eukaryota; Metazoa; Chordata; Mammalia; Rodentia; Cricetidae
Exons: 3
Source: RefSeq, a predicted model, not a curated record